AUUGAACGCUGGCGGCAGGCCUAACACAUGCAAGUCGAGCGGAUGAAGGGAGCUUGCUCCUGGAUUCAGCGGCGGACGGGUGAGUAAUGCCUAGGAAUCUGCCUGGUAGUGGGGGAUAACGUCCGGAAACGGGCGCUAAUACCGCAUACGUCCUGAGGGAGAAAGUGGGGGAUCUUCGGACCUCACGCUAUCAGAUGAGUCUAGGUCGGAUUAGCUAGUUGGUGGGGUAAAGGCCUACCAAGGCGACGAUCCGUAACUGGUCUGAGAGGAUGAUCAGUCACACUGGAACUGAGACACGGCCCAGACUCCUACGGGAGGCAGCAGUGGGGAAUAUUGGACAAUGGGCGAAAGCCUGAUCCAGCCAUGCCGCGUGUGUGAAGAAGGUCUUCGGAUUGUAAAGCACUUUAAGUUGGGAGGAAGGGCAGUAAGUUAAUACCUUGCUGUUUUGACGUUACCAACAGAAUAAGCACCGGCUAACUUCGUG
Molecule: ribosomal RNA, 484 nt
Filed under: uncultured bacterium
Lineage: Bacteria
Description: partial 16S ribosomal RNA
Rfam family: Bacterial small subunit ribosomal RNA
Source: RNAcentral